GGGGGGGGGGGGGGGGGGGGGGGGGGGGGGGGGGGCGGGCGGGAGGAGCCGGGGGGGGUGGGGUGCUCGAGUGGCGAACGGGUGGGUAACACGUGAGUAACCUGCCCUUGACUUUGGGAUAACUUCAGGAAACUGGGGCUAAUACCGGAUAGGAGCUCCUGCUGCAUGGUGGGGGUUGGAAAGUUUCGGCGGUUGGGGAUGGACUCGCGGCUUAUCAGCUUGUUGGUGGGGUAGUGGCUUACCAAGGCUUUGACGGGUAGCCGGCCUGAGAGGGUGACCGGCCACAUUGGGACUGAGAUACGGCCCAGACUCCUACGGGAGGCAGCAGUGGGGAAUAUUGCACAAUGGGCGGAAGCCUGAUGCAGCAACGCCGCGUGCGGGAUGACGGCCUUCGGGUUGUAAACCGCUUUCGCCUGUGACGAAGCGUGAGUGACGGUAAUGGGUAAAGAAGCACCGGCUAACUACGUG
RNAcentral lists this ribosomal RNA (468 nucleotides) under uncultured bacterium. RNAcentral describes it as "partial 16S ribosomal RNA". The stretch from base 58 to 468 matches the Rfam family "Bacterial small subunit ribosomal RNA", at positions 39 to 507 of the family's 1533-position model. The record is from RNAcentral.